CCCAGUGCUGUAAACUAAUCCCCUGUGGGAGGUGGAGUACCUGCAGCGCUGGGAGAGCACUCUCUCAGCGCUGGCGCCACGACCACACUCGCAACUUCAAAGCGCUGCCGCGGGAGCGCUCCCACGGCAGCGCUCUGAAGUUGCAAGUGUAGCCAUACCCUUACUCCAGAUGGACACCAGUGUAAGUGAGCAGAAUUUGAACUAGUGUUGGUACACAAAUACAAACAUCCAUAGUUACCCAAAUACCUGAUGAUAGAGUUCUCAAAACAAUCCCUGGUGCACGCUUAUUUUUAAUACUGUAUAGAAAUUAGAAUAAAUAGUUUCUAGGAAAAACUAAUAAUUUUUGAAAAUUUACUUAAUUUUUCUGUUAAUUUCUAAAUACUUAUCUGACUCUGAGAUCAGAUAAUUAAUACAAAGUUAGUCUUGUUUCAGAAACCAAACAUGGAUAUAACUGAGAGGAAGAUCUAAUUUUAUUUUGAGUGAACUUUGAUACAAUAACUUGCAUUUUCCUAGAAAAUGUCUCUUUUCCAUGCUUCUACUGUACUUUAUUAUACAGUAUAAUUUUCUAGGCAGUGUACUGGAAAAUGAUCCCUGACUAUAAUCCUUUAUUUUAUGCAUUUAAACCAUACCACACCCCAAAUUCCCCCAGGGAAUUUUCACUUGUUGAACCCAAUGGAUCACAUUUAAUGUGGCCUCCUCUCUGCUGCUAUUAUGAAGUGAGGCAACAACUGUCAGUGUGCCAUUUGUAGAGAUUUUUUAAAAAGUACCUGCCUGUCUCAAGGCUAGGACUUGACUGGUAACUUUUCAACUAGUUGUUGAAAUACCCUGAUAAAUGAGUGAUUAGUUUCAUUACUUUAGCUGUUAGAAAGGAGCUGGAGAGAAACAAAAUAAGUGAGUAGCACGUUCCUCAUGUGCAAACCUCAAGAUGAUAGAGGUGGCAUGAAAGGCAGUUCUUGAGAUGGCACAAACAGGUCCAGCAUCCUGAUGAGCAGUGGGAAUUGUGACAGUGUGUAUGGUAAUUAUCUUGAUGCAUGGGUAAUGUCUCAAUGCUGUGGUACAUGAAGGGUAUGGUUCACUUUUUAAUGUAUUUAACAUAUAUGUAUACUGCUUAAAGCAUGGCUGGGGACUAGGAAAUCUGGGUUGUAUUUUUGACUUUUUCAUAGACUCACUGUGCAACUUUGGACAAGUUACUUAGGCCCAGCUCCACAAAGAUAUUUAGGUUCCUAACUUCCACCUUUGUGGAUCUGGGCCUUAGCCACAGUUUCUUCUACCUGUGGAAUGAGUAUAAUGCUGACCUGCCCAACAGUAUCAUGAGGUGUAGGUUGUAGUUUGUAAAACCCUGAGAUUGAGUGCUGCCAUUUUACUGAAAACUGUUUUACAAAAUGUGCAACAGGAGUGAUGAAGGAUCUUUUACACUGGGAAGAUCAAACUGAGCGGAGACAAUUUCCUGCAGAAAAUUCCUUGCUUGCAUUACUCUGGAGUCAAAGAAUAUUUUGCUUCCAUGCUGUUCCACUAGUUUAUAUAAAGGGAAUGAUUACACUAUUCCAAGGGAUGUGAUCCAGAAAGACCUGCAAAGAUUGCCCUCUGCCACCACUCUUAUUAAAUCCAGGAGGAGAACUCCUGUAGUUCCAGACCACAGGAAUGGUUGUUACUCUGACACUUGCUAAAUAUAAAGGAAAAUGUUAUGCGAGUAAUUAUGGAUCUGUUCACUAUCAGAAUUAAACCCUUUUCUUUUC
Molecule: long non-coding RNA, 1736 nt
Organism: Gopherus flavomarginatus (Mexican gopher tortoise)
Lineage: Eukaryota; Metazoa; Chordata; Testudines; Testudinidae
Exons: 2
Source: RefSeq, a predicted model, not a curated record